This 501-nucleotide ribosomal RNA is filed under the name uncultured bacterium. Its description in RNAcentral is "partial 16S ribosomal RNA". It matches the Rfam family "Bacterial small subunit ribosomal RNA", at positions 29 to 523 of the family's 1533-position model. The record is from RNAcentral.
AUUGAACGCUGGCGGCAUGCCUUACACAUGCAAGUCGAACGGCAGCACGGGUGCUUGCACCUGGUGGCGAGUGGCGAACGGGUGAGUAAUACAUCGGAACGUACCUUAUCGUGGGGGAUAACGCAGCGAAAGCUGUGCUAAUACCGCAUACGCCCUGAGGGGGAAGGCGGGGAAUCGAAAGACCUCGCGCGAUUAGAGCGGCCGAUGCCUGAUUAGCUUGUUGGUGGGGUAAAAGCCCACCAAGGCGACGAUCAGUAGCUGGACUGAGAGGACGAUCAGCCACACUGGGACUGAGACACGGCCCAGACUCCUACGGGAGGCAGCAGUGGGGAAUUUUGGACAAUGGGGGCAACCCUGAUCCAGCAAUGCCGCGUGAGUGAAGAAGGCCUUCGGGUUGUAAAGCUCUUUUGUCAGGGAAGAAACACCGGCUCUAACACAGUCCGGGAAUGACGGUACCUGAAGAAUAAGCACCGGCUAACUACGUGCCAGCCGCCGCCGUAA